This 406-nucleotide ribosomal RNA is filed under the name uncultured bacterium. RNAcentral's name for it is "bacterial SSU rRNA". It matches the Rfam family "Bacterial small subunit ribosomal RNA", at positions 355 to 776 of the family's 1533-position model. The record is from RNAcentral.
UCGAGAAUCUUCCGCAAUGGGCGAAAGCCUGACGGAGCGAUGCCGCGUGAGGGAUGAAGGCCUUCGGGUCGUAAACCUCUGUCGCCCGGGACGAAACCAUGACGGUACCGGGAGAGGAAGCUACGGCUAACUACGUGCCAGCAGCCGCGGUAAUACGUAGGUAGCGAGCGUUAUUCGGAUUUACUGGGCGUAAAGGGUCCGCAGGGGGUUUGCCAAGUCUGGCGUGAAAGCCUACGGCUCAACCGUGGAACUGCGCCGGAUACUGGCGAGCUUGAGUGCGUGAGGGGUGAACGGAACUCCAGGUGUAGCGGUGGAAUGCGUAGAUAUCUGGAAGAACGCCGAUGGCGAAAGCGGUUCACUGGCGCGCAACUGACCCUCAGGGACGAAAGUGUGGGUAGCAAACAGG